This is a long non-coding RNA of Sander lucioperca (pikeperch), 507 nucleotides long. RefSeq lists it as uncharacterized. The record is from RefSeq and is a predicted model, not a curated record. NCBI's taxonomy places the organism in Eukaryota, Metazoa, Chordata, Actinopteri, Perciformes, Percidae. The transcript is spliced from 3 exons.
CUUGUACCUUUGGAGAUGCCAGAGACAAUAUGCUGUUGUCUACGAGGAUCGUCCACUGUCAACGCAGGACAGUCCAUAGUUGUGGUUACAAUGAAUAGGCGAUAUGAUCUCAGAUUGCCUCAGAUUAGAUGCAAUGCAUGUGAAGCCACUUGGAGUCCUGGAGUGGAUGACCUGAUCCGCAAUGACUACUGGCCUGCCACUUCUCACUACUCAACAGUGUAUGCGACAGAUGUCUUGCCUUUUUUCUUUUGAAGAGCUGCAGAUGGCAGCACCAGGGAUGUCUAGCCAAGCAUUUCUUAGGAUACUGGAUCAACGUACUGUUCGCUUUGGCCGUAGUGGAAACAUCACAGCAGACAGCUUCCGUAAAAGCUUCUUUGAGUGAGAGGCUGUCCGAUUCGAAGUGGACAAAUUAUGCCGGGAGGACCACUUUGACUGCCCAGCGUGCAGCCCAGACAUGCUUGCAGUAUCUGUUGAUGGAAACCGCAAGCACUACAGAUUCAAGGGUGC